CCUACGGGGGGCAGCAGUGGGGAAUAUUGGGCAAUGGGCGCAAGCCUGACCCAGCAAUGCCGCGUGAAGGAAGAAGGCUUUCGGGUUGUAAACUUCUUUGACAGGGGAAGAGCAGAAGACGGUACCCUGAAAACAAGCCACGGCUAACUACGUGCCAGCAGCCGCGGUAAUACGGAGGUGGCAGGCGUUGUCCGGAUUUACUGGGUGUAAAGGGCGUGUAGCCGGGAAGGCAAGUCAAGUGUGAAAUCCGGGGGUCCAACCCCCGCUUUGCAUUUGAAACUGUUUUUCUUGAGUACCGGAGAGGCAGGCGGAAUUCCUUGUGUAGCGGUGAAAUGCGUAGAUAUAAGGAAGAACACCAGUGGCGAAGGCAGUCUGCUGGACAGCAACUGACGGUGAGGCGCGAAAGCGUGGGGAGCAAACAGGAUUAGAUACCCUGGUAGUC
This 442-nucleotide ribosomal RNA is filed under the name uncultured bacterium. Its description in RNAcentral is "partial 16S ribosomal RNA". It matches the Rfam family "Bacterial small subunit ribosomal RNA", at positions 338 to 795 of the family's 1533-position model. The record is from RNAcentral.